RNAcentral lists this ribosomal RNA (407 nucleotides) under uncultured bacterium. RNAcentral describes it as "partial 16S ribosomal RNA". It matches the Rfam family "Bacterial small subunit ribosomal RNA", at positions 30 to 526 of the family's 1533-position model. The record is from RNAcentral.
AUUGAACGCUAGCGGGAUGCCUUACACAUGCAAGUCGAACGGAGUGGCGAACGGGUGAGUAAUGUAUCGGAACGUGCCCAGUAGCGGGGGAUAACUACGCGAAAGCGUAACUAAUACCGCAUACUAUUGGAGCGGCCGAUAUCGGAUUAGCUAGUGGUUGGGGUAACGGCUAACCAAGGCGACGAUCCGUAGCUGGUUUGAGAGGACGACCAGCCAAACUGGGACUGAGACACGGCCCAGACUCCUACGGUAGGCAGCAGUGGGGAAUGUUGGACAAGGGGGGCAAGCCUGAUGCAGCCAUCCCGCGUGAGUGAAGAAGGUGUUCGGAUCGUAAAACACUGUUGUUAGAGAAGCGUUAUCUAACCAGAAAGCCACGGCUAACUACGUGCCAGCAGCCGCGGUAAUAC